This 469-nucleotide ribosomal RNA is filed under the name uncultured Pseudomonadota bacterium. Its description in RNAcentral is "uncultured proteobacterium partial 16S ribosomal RNA". The record is from RNAcentral. Lineage: Bacteria; Pseudomonadati; Pseudomonadota.
UGUUACGACUUCACCCCAGUCGCUGACCCUACCGUGGCCGGCUGCCUCCUUGCGGUUAGCGCACCGUCUUCAGGUAAAGCCAACUCCCAUGGUGUGACGGGCGGUGUGUACAAGGCCCGGGAACGUAUUCACCGCAGCGUGCUGAUCUGCGAUUACUAGCGAUUCCAACUUCAUGUGCUCGAGUUGCAGAGCACAAUCCGAACUGAGACGGCUUUUUGAGAUUUGCGCAGGAUUGCUCCAUUGCAUCCCACUGUCACCGCCAUUGUAGCACGUGUGUAGCCCAGCCCGUAAGGGCCAUGAGGACUUGACGUCAUCCCCACCUUCCUCGCGGCUUAUCACCGGCAGUCCCCUUAGAGGGCCCAACUAAAUGAUGGCAACUAAGGGCGAGGGUUGCGCUCGUUGCGGGACUUAACCCAACAUCUCACGACACGAGCUGACGACAGCCAUGCAGCACCUGUCUCCGGUCCAG